RNAcentral lists this ribosomal RNA (493 nucleotides) under uncultured bacterium. RNAcentral describes it as "partial 16S ribosomal RNA". It matches the Rfam family "Bacterial small subunit ribosomal RNA", at positions 28 to 506 of the family's 1533-position model. The record is from RNAcentral.
GACGAGCGCUGGCGGCGUGCUUAACACAUGCAAGUCGAACGGAAAGGCCUGCUUUCCCUUGUGGAUUGCGGGUACUCGAGUGGCGAACGGGUGAGUAACACGUGAGUGAUCUGCCCCCAACUUGGGUAUAAGCCUGGGAAACUGGGUCUAAUUCCCGAUAGGACUGCAGGGUGGUGCCUGUGGUGGAAAACGAUUUUCUAGUGGUUGGGGAUGAGCUCGCGGCCUAUCAGCUUGUUGGUGGGGUAAUGGCCUACCAAGGCGGCGACGGGUAGCCGGCCUGGGAGGGUGGACGGCCACCUUGGGACUGAGAUACGGCCCAGACUCCUACCGGAGGCAGCAGUGGGGAAUAUUGCACAAUGGGCGGAAGCCUGAUGCAGCGACGCCGCGUGGGGGAUGACGGCCUUCGGGGUGGAAACUCCUUUCGACCGCGAGGAAGCCACCUGGUUGGAAGGGUGGUGACGGUAGUGGUAGAAGAAGCACCGGCUAACUACGU